GCCCCUCCACUGACUGAUUAAAUUCAGGGUUGGAGUGAACUGUGAUCUAGUGAACUUUAUUUUCUCUGGCAGUCCCAACGUGCCAUGCAUGCGGUCCCAUAGCUGGAGGUGGGGGUGGUGGUGGGGAGAGGCCCUUCCUCGACUCAUCCUUCCCCUUCCAUUAACACCUCAGGGGACGGGGGCCGACGCAGACGGGACGAAUCCUCAGAAGCGAGUCAACAGAGUGCCCGAUUUGCGGGAAGUUCAUGUCCCACCUGAGGCAACACCUGACGGCACGUCAUAAAGUAGGAAACUUUGCGGAGAAAUGUCUGCUCAUGAACUGGUCCAGUGGACGGUGAGUCAAAGUCAUAGUUGAGUGCUCAACUGCUGUUAUUAUUCUUUAUAUAUUUAUUUUUCUUUAUUUAAACUUUCAUUCCACUACAGCACUCGCUGCAUUGUCUGCAAGAAAUGCAUUCUGUAGUUUCAGAUGUAAUUAUUUCUACCC
Molecule: long non-coding RNA, 484 nt
Filed under: Gadus morhua (Atlantic cod)
Lineage: Eukaryota; Metazoa; Chordata; Actinopteri; Gadiformes; Gadidae
Description: lncRNA (ENSGMOG00000033091.1)
Source: RNAcentral